This 28-nucleotide small RNA is filed under the name Bombyx mori (domestic silkworm). Its description in RNAcentral is "ovarian small RNA-22715". Lineage: Eukaryota; Metazoa; Arthropoda; Insecta; Lepidoptera; Bombycidae. The record is from RNAcentral.
UAGGGAAUAAUACGUAAUGGGCCAGCGU